UUCAGGCAGGAUUAGGUGAGAACAUGACAUCAGAAAAUAACAUGUCUGUGUACUGCUGCCAGCUCCAUAUGCUACGUCUUGUUUUCACAGGGAAAGGAGUUGUCAGAGCCAUCUUUCCCAGGAGGGUCCUGCCAGCCUAGAGAAGCAGAUCCUGUGGGGCAGAAAGGAUGUGGGCACUCAGCAGUUACCUUGGUUUCCAAGAAAUGUCUCCACCCUUCAGUUGCUUCUGAAAGUAA
Long non-coding RNA from Mesocricetus auratus (golden hamster), 236 nucleotides. RefSeq lists it as uncharacterized. The transcript has 2 exons. Lineage: Eukaryota; Metazoa; Chordata; Mammalia; Rodentia; Cricetidae. The record is from RefSeq and is a predicted model, not a curated record.